This is a long non-coding RNA of Lathyrus oleraceus (garden pea), 895 nucleotides long. RefSeq lists it as uncharacterized. The transcript is spliced from 2 exons. NCBI's taxonomy places the organism in Eukaryota, Viridiplantae, Streptophyta, Magnoliopsida, Fabales, Fabaceae. The record is from RefSeq and is a predicted model, not a curated record.
CAUCCUUAACUAAAAUCAUCCAAAAUCUCGCAUUUUAAAAUAAAAACUUUAAGGAUUCAUACUUGCAAACCUGUACAAGUGUACUGGUGUAAGAUGUCAUAACAUCUAUCAGGACAUCAGUCUGCAAGGAACAUAAGCAACACCUACUGCACAGUUGAUCAAGAUGUCAUGACACCUUGUUCAACAUUAGGUUGUGAUACAUGUUUUCCUAAAUGAAACAUGUUUUACCAAAAUUGUUGCCAAAUCAUAAAAUCACAUACACUAACUAAUGGACGAAUAUCCUCAACCUCCACCGCUCAGGAAAUUUCCUCCUCUGGUGGCGGAGGGGCAAAUCCUUAAACAACGUACUCCACUAGUCUUGUCUUCUCACCCUCUACCAGAAUCCACACUCAACUUAGGCUAAUUCACACUGAAACCACCAAACCAAACUGAAAUUUGUCAAGAACCCUGAACCUAGAUUCAGGAAUUAAAUGGAUAUUAUGAGUAAUCAAAGCCUCUUACGAGAGGGCUUUGAUUACUAAGGCAUGAUGCUACAUCGUGGUGAGCAUAACAAGACGAAACAAGGGGGAAUUGGUGACCUACCUGCCGGAGACGAUGCAGAUGACGAUGACGAUGAAGACAAAAUCUUAGGUGGAAUCAUGAGCUUGUUUGCAGCUGCUUGAUGCUGGUUGAAACAUCCGAUAUUGUUUGGAAUUAAAUGGGGGAACUAGGAUUAAGGCUUAAAUUAGUUGUAUGACUUAUUAACUGGUUUGGUCAUUGUAAAAGAGAUGUAAUGAAUAUGGAAAAUUUAAAGUUGAAUGCAUUGAAUUGGAAUUGAAUUUGUAUAGAAUGUGAAAUUGAAUUGGUAUUGAAUUGUAACUGAUGGUAUGGAAUACAUAUUGAAUGUUGUAUUGGA